Molecule: long non-coding RNA, 645 nt
Organism: Chelonia mydas (Green sea turtle)
Lineage: Eukaryota; Metazoa; Chordata; Testudines; Cheloniidae
Exons: 2
Source: RefSeq, a predicted model, not a curated record
CCAGCAGCCAGUGCUCCCAAUUCUAAUACUUACAAGCAACAUCUGAACACCACACCUGGCUCUACUGGGAAUAACACAAGGAAGGCAGGAAACUGUACAGCCUGGAGACACUCCAGUCAGAAGGGAGUGAGACGCAGGUCUCCAGCCAAGAGAGGCAAUGUCAAGAGUUGGAAGCCUGAGAGUGGGUGUCCUUGCUGGACCACUGAGAGGAAAAAAAAGGGGCAGUUGCUCUGAACUGAGACAGCACUCAGAAUAACACACAACAGAUAGAACAGCUUGUCUGCACCUUGCAAGCCUUGAUUUGUGUGAUUAGUUAAUGGGACUCCUCAUCUGACAAAAGCAUUGCAGCAUCAGAACCUUCAUCUGCAUUAUAGGAAACAAGACCUGUUCAUUUCAAAGCUUAGAAAAUCCUCAAUCUCUUAAUUUGAAAUUUUAAAAUAGAAAUCAUCCAGUUUCUGGUUUAAAAUGUGCAAAUUGAUUUUUAAUCUCUCUGGCAUCUUUAUGCUAGAUUACUACUCUGUUUUUCUUAAGGUGGGUGAUUUGGAAAAUGGCAUAAUUGUUUUAACACAACAUUUUUAGUAAGAGCCCACAUUUUAAGGCAAAUCUAGUUGCUUAACAUGCUAAAAUAUACUUUUUUUUCUUCUA